GACGAACGCUGGCGGCGUGCUUAACACAUGCAAGUCGAACGGAAAGGCCCUGCUUUUUUGCUCUGCCCGAUUGGCGAACGGGUGCGUAAGACGUGAGUAACCUACCCUUCAUUUUGGGGGGACUUCACGUAACUGGGGCUAAUACAGUACAGCAGCUCCUCCUCCUUGGUGGGGGGUGGAAAUUCUCGGCGGUCGUGGUUGGACGGGCGGCUUAUCAGCUUGUUGGUGGAGGAGUUGCUUACCAAGGGUUUGACGGGUCGCCGGCAUGGGAGGGUGACCGGGGACAUUGGGCCUGCGAGACGGCCCAGAGGCCUACGGGAGGCAGCAGUGGGAAAUAUUGCCCAAUGGGCGGAAGCCGGAUGCAGCAACGUCGCGUGCGGGAUGACGGCCUUCGGGUUGUAAACCGCUUCAGCCUAUGACGAAGCGGGAGUGACGGUAACGGAUAAAGAAGCACCGGCUAACUACGUG
This 468-nucleotide ribosomal RNA is filed under the name uncultured bacterium. RNAcentral describes it as "partial 16S ribosomal RNA". It matches the Rfam family "Bacterial small subunit ribosomal RNA", at positions 28 to 507 of the family's 1533-position model. The record is from RNAcentral.